This 465-nucleotide ribosomal RNA is filed under the name uncultured bacterium. RNAcentral describes it as "partial 16S ribosomal RNA". It matches the Rfam family "Bacterial small subunit ribosomal RNA", at positions 28 to 507 of the family's 1533-position model. The record is from RNAcentral.
GACGAACGCUGGCGGCGUGCUUAACACAUGCAAGUCGAACGGAAAGGCCCCUUUGGGGGUACUCGAGUGGCGAACGGGUGAGUAACACGUGAGUAACCUGCCCUUGACUUCGGGAUAACUUCAGGAAACUGGGGCUAAUACCGGAUAGGAAUCCUUGCUGCAUGGUGGGGGUUGGAAAGCUUCGGCGGUUUUGGAUGGACUCGCGGCUUAUCAGCUUGUUGGUGGGGUAGUGGCUUACCAAGGCUUUGACGGGUAGCCGGCCUGAGAGGGCGACCGGCCACAUUGGGACUGGGAUACGGCCCAGACUCCGACGGGAGGCAGCAGUGGGGAAUAUUGCACAAUGGGCGGAAGCCUGAUGCAGCAACGCCGCGGGCGGGAUGACGGCCUUCGGGUUGUAAACCGCUUUCAGCAGGGGCGAAGCUUGUGGUGACGGUACCUGCAGAAGAAGCACCGGCUAACUACGUG